RNAcentral lists this ribosomal RNA (492 nucleotides) under uncultured bacterium. Its description in RNAcentral is "partial 16S ribosomal RNA". It matches the Rfam family "Bacterial small subunit ribosomal RNA", at positions 28 to 507 of the family's 1533-position model. The record is from RNAcentral.
GAUGAACGCUAGCUACAGGCUUAACACAUGCAAGUCGAGGGGAAACGGCAUUGAGUGCUUGCACUCUUUGGACGUCGACCGGCGCACGGGUGAGUAACGCGUAUCCAACCUUCCCAUUACUGUGGGAUAACCUGCCGAAAGGCAGACUAAUACCGCAUAGUCUUCGAUGACGGCAUCAGAUUUGAAGUAAAGAUUUAUCGGUAAUGGAUGGGGAUGCGUCUGAUUAGCUUGUUGGCGGGGUAACGGCCCACCAAGGCUACGAUCAGUAGGGGUUCUGAGAGGAAGGUCCCCCACAUUGGAACUGAGACACGGUCCAAACUCCUACGGGAGGCAGCAGUGAGGAAUAUUGGUCAAUGGACGGAAGUCUGAACCAGCCAAGUGGCGUGCAGGAUGACGGCCCUAUGGGUUGUAAACUGCUUUUGUAUGGGGAUAAAGUUAGGGACGUGUCCCUAUUUGCAGGUACCAUACGAAUAAGGACCGGCUAAGUCCGUG